Molecule: ribosomal RNA, 358 nt
Filed under: uncultured bacterium
Lineage: Bacteria
Description: bacterial SSU rRNA
Rfam family: Bacterial small subunit ribosomal RNA
Source: RNAcentral
ACCAGGGCUUCGGCCCUGGGGACAGCGGCGAACGGGUGAGUAACACGUGGAUAACCUGCCCUCGGCACCGGAAUAGCCCGAGGAAACUCGGAUUAAUGCCGGAUAGCCCCACAUCCCUGCGGGGAACGUGGGAAAAGGUAGCUUCGGCCUCUGGCCGGGGAUGGGUCCGCGGUGGAUUAGCUUGUUGGCGGGGUAACGGCCCACCAAGGCGACGAUCCAUAGCUGGUCUGAGAGGAUGAUCAGCCACACUGGGACUGAGACACGGCCCAGACUCCUACGGGAGGCAGCAGUGGGGAAUCUUGCGCAAUGGGCGAAAGCCUGACGCAGCGACGCCGCGUGCGGGAAGAAGGCCUUCGGG